UGAUUUCGGAUUAAUGUGUGUGUUGGAAAAAGUGUGUGUUGGAAAAUGUGUGUGUUGGACAAAGAAACAAUAGCAACAGGAUGACUUUAAUUGUUAUGAGGCUGUUCGAAGAUGCUCUAUACGUUGCAACUAUACAUUGUGGUAGCAGAACUUACAUCGUAGCAGGUCGAUGAUUUGACUGGAACUCUUCGCCGGAAAAUGCAAUUUGGUGAGUCA
This is a long non-coding RNA of Camponotus floridanus (Florida carpenter ant), 216 nucleotides long. RefSeq lists it as uncharacterized. NCBI's taxonomy places the organism in Eukaryota, Metazoa, Arthropoda, Insecta, Hymenoptera, Formicidae. The transcript is spliced from 3 exons. The record is from RefSeq and is a predicted model, not a curated record.